AUAAAAAAACACACAACACACAGAGCCGAGACAAACACAGUUAGCGUGUCAUGUUCACAGACCUCACCACCAACACCACCAUCAUCAUCUCCAUCUCUUUUCCACAAGUCUUCUCUUCUCAUCGAUCCAUUUUUUCACUUUAAACCCCUUCAAAGGUACAAUUGCUUGUGAUGUUUAAGAUCAAGUGCUUUAUAGGUGCUAGCCUUCUGCUGUAGGUUUGUGGUCUUCAUUAAGUUAUAGGAUUUGAUCAAGCACCAGAUAUUAAACAUCACAUUAGUUCUGAUUCUUGAUGUUGAUACACACCUUCUCGUAAACGGUAAAGCUCUAAUUAACUUGACGCUUCUUAUGGAGGCUUAUCAUCUUGAUAUAAAAUGGGACGAUGUCACAUGUCCUAUAUGUCUUUCCUUCCCACAUAACUGUGUUCUUCUUCAAUGCUCUUCUUACAAUAAAGGAUGCCGACCUUUUGUGUGUGACACCGGUCAUUUACACUCAAAUUGUUUGGACCGUUUCCAAACUGCAAAUAAGAUGUCAUCUGGGUCAGAUUCACAAGUAACUUCUGAUGAAUCAACUGUAAUAAGUGCAGAUGCCACUAGCAAGCCAUUAUGCCCUCUUUGCAGAGGUGAUGUUACUGGGUGGGUAGUUGUCAGUGAGGCUCGAGUUAAAUUGGACGAGAAAAAACGCGGCUGUGAAGAAGAAAAGUGCACAUUUUCAGGAACUUAUACGGAGCUUCGGGAACAUGCUAAUGUGGAGCACCCUCAUGCGUGCCCAUCAAAAAUUGAUCCUGCAAGACAGCUUGAUUGGGAAAAUUUUCAGCAGUCGUCUGAGAUUAUCGAUGUUUUGAGCACCAUACAUUCUGAAAUUCCACACGGGGUGGUUUUGGGAGAUUAUGUUAUAGAAUAUGGGGAUAAUGGUUCUGGAGAUGAAUUUGAAGACUUCCCUGGUGAUGAUGGAAAUUGGUGGACUUCUUGUAUAUUGUAUCAAGUGUUUGAUAAUUUUAGGAAUUCUAGAAAUAGAAGAAGGCAAAGAGUAAGUGCAGCAAGGAGAGAAAGUCGUCGAUUGAGCUACGAUAAUACUUCCAACUCUGAUGAAGGUUCUGUAGUAUCUGCGGAAUUUGCAGACUAUAGAGGUGUUGAUCCCGAGGAUGAUUAUGUGACUAGCAAUAGUAUAUCCAGGGGUAGAACAGGUCAUCGCAGGUGGGCAAGCUUUUCUUGUGUUUCUUGAAUGUUUAGUUCUCGAAGACGCCCUUCACGUUUUUUAUGAUAAUUAGGUACGGCAUCUCACUUGGUUUCAAGUCAAUCUCAAGUUGCAAGGAAGUGGGGCUGAGGAGACUCCUUGAGUCUUGGAAGUCAAACAUUCAGAUGGAAAAGGCUGCUACUUGAGAUUGAGAAGACAAAAUAUGUGAUCCUGCGUGCUGAUUUUGCUGACUUUUCUUAAUGAUGUUAGGUUGUUCCCCUCUUCCGAGUUGCUUUUUUCAAAUUCACUCCUGGAUUACCGAAUAAAUCUUCAAACCCCACCCGUGUACAUUGAAAGGGGAAAUCUUUUAUUCUCGUCUUCUGAUACCGAACAAAUGAAACUAACAAAGGACGAUUUAGCAUCUGUUGCCAUCAUGCCAUGUUGACUUAUGCUUACUGAUCCUUUAUCCAUAAAUGAUCCUGUCAUUGUCGUUUGCAUUUAUCGAUAACUGACUUAUUUCCUGUAUAAAUUAAUUUAUUAUUAUUCACUUAUCCAAUAAAAUGCAUCAAGUUGACCACA
This is an RNA transcript of Erigeron canadensis, 1752 nucleotides long. RefSeq lists it as uncharacterized. The record is from RefSeq and is a predicted model, not a curated record. Lineage: Eukaryota; Viridiplantae; Streptophyta; Magnoliopsida; Asterales; Asteraceae. The transcript is spliced from 4 exons.